UACGAAGGGGGCUAGCGUUGCUCGGAAUCACUGGGCGUAAAGCGCACGUAGGCGGACUUUUAAGUCAGAGGUGAAAUCCUGGAGCUCAACUCCAGAACUGCCUUCGAUACUGAGAGUCUUCGAGUUCGGGAGAGGUGAGUGGAACUGCGAGUGUAGAGGUGAAAUUCGUAGAUAUUCGCAAGAACACCAGUGGCGAAGGCGGCUCACUGGCCCGAUACUGACGCUGAGGUGCGAAAGCGUGGGGAGCAAACAGG
RNAcentral lists this ribosomal RNA (254 nucleotides) under uncultured bacterium. RNAcentral's name for it is "partial 16S ribosomal RNA". It matches the Rfam family "Bacterial small subunit ribosomal RNA", at positions 524 to 776 of the family's 1533-position model. The record is from RNAcentral.